GAACACCAGUGGCGAAGGCGACUUUCUGGUCUGUAACUGACGCUGAUGUGCGAAAGCGUGGGGAUCAAACAGGAUUAGAUACCCUGGUAGUCCACGCCGUAAACGAUGAGUGCUAAGUGUUAGGGGGGUUCCGCCCCUUAGUGCUGCAGCUAACGCAUUAAGCACUCCGCCUGGGGAGUACGACCGCAAGGUUGAAACUCAAAGGAAUUGACGGGGACCCG
This 221-nucleotide ribosomal RNA is filed under the name Staphylococcus aureus. RNAcentral describes it as "partial 16S ribosomal RNA". It matches the Rfam family "Bacterial small subunit ribosomal RNA", at positions 704 to 923 of the family's 1533-position model. Lineage: Bacteria; Bacillati; Bacillota; Bacilli; Caryophanales; Staphylococcaceae. The record is from RNAcentral.